CCUACGGGUGGCAGCAGUGGGGAAUAUUGGACAAUGGGCGAAAGCCUGGUCCAGCCAUGCCGCGUGUGUGAAGAAGGCCUUCGGGUUGUAAAGCACUUUCAGUGGGGAAGAAAGCCUUGGGGCUAAUACCCUCGAGGAAGGACAUCACCCACAGAAGAAGCACCGGCUAACUCCGUGCCAGCAGCCGCGGUAAUACGGAGGGUGCGAGCGUUAAUCGGAAUUACUGGGCGUAAAGCGCGCGUAGGCGGUCUGAUAAGCCGGUUGUGAAAGCCCCGGGCUCAACCUGGGAACGGCAUCCGGAACUGUCAGGCUAGAGUGCAGGAGAGGAAGGUAGAAUUCCCGGUGUAGCGGUGAAAUGCGUAGAGAUCGGGAGGAAUACCAGUGGCGAAGGCGGCCUUCUGGACUGACACUGACGCUGAGGUGCGAAAGCGUGGGUAGCAAACAGGAUUAGAUACCCGUGUAGUC
This 465-nucleotide ribosomal RNA is filed under the name Vreelandella stevensii. RNAcentral describes it as "partial 16S ribosomal RNA". It matches the Rfam family "Bacterial small subunit ribosomal RNA", at positions 338 to 795 of the family's 1533-position model. The record is from RNAcentral. Lineage: Bacteria; Pseudomonadati; Pseudomonadota; Gammaproteobacteria; Oceanospirillales; Halomonadaceae.